This 445-nucleotide ribosomal RNA is filed under the name uncultured bacterium. Its description in RNAcentral is "bacterial SSU rRNA". It matches the Rfam family "Bacterial small subunit ribosomal RNA", at positions 330 to 793 of the family's 1533-position model. The record is from RNAcentral.
ACCAGACUCCUACGGGAGGCAGCAGCGGGGAAUAUUGGGCAAUGGGGGAAACCCUGACCCAGCGACGCCGCGUGAGGGAAGAAGGUUUUCGGAUUGUAAACCUCUGUCCUUGGUGACGAUAAUGACGGUAGCCAAGGAGGAAGCCACGGCUAACUACGUGCCAGCAGCCGCGGUAAUACGGAGGAUGCGAGCGUUAUCCGGAUUUAUUGGGUUUAAAGGGUGCGCAGGCGGCACGGCAAGCCGGCGGUCAAAUCGCGGGGCUCAACCCCGCCCAGCCGUCGGAACUGCCGGGCUAGAGUGGGCGAGAAGUGCGCGGAGUGCGUGGUGUAGCGGUGAAAUGCAUAGAUAUCACGCAGAACUCCGAUUGCGAAGGCAGCGCACCGGCGCCCUACUGACGCUCAGGCACGAAAGCGUGGGUAUCGAACAGGAUUAGAUACCCGUGUAC